GCGGGCAAGAGACCGAGCAGGUCCCUGUGUCUCCAAGUCCCUGAGCCCGUGACACCGGCCCCAGGCCCUGUAGAGAGCAGGCAGCCACCAUGGCGAAGGAGGAAGAUGAGGAGAAGAAAGCCAAGAAAGGGAAGAAGGGGAAGAAGGCACUGGAGCCAGAGAAGCCCAAACGGAGCCUGAAGGGGACGUCGCGGCUGUUCAUGGGCUUCCGCGACCGUACACCCAAGAUCUCCAAGAAGGGCCAGUUCCGCAGCGCCUCGGCCUUCUUCUGGGGCCUCCACACCGGCCCCCAGAAGACCAAGCGCAAGAAGAAGGCCCGCACCGUGCUCAAGUCCACGUCAAAGCUCAUGACGCAGAUGCGCAUGGGCAAGAAGAAGCGGGCGAUGAAGGGCAAGAAGCCGUCCUUCAUGGUGAUCCGCUUCCCAGGCCGCUGUGGCUACGGCCGCCUGCGGCCGCGCGCCCGGUCACUCAGCAAAGCGUCCACGGCCAUCAACUGGCUCACAAAAAAGUUCCUCCUCAAGAAGGCCGAGGAGUCGGGCAGCGAACAGGCCACAGUGGACGCCUGGCUGCAGCGCUCGAGCUCCCGCAUGGGCUCCCGCAAACUCCCCUUCCCGUCGGGUGCCGAGAUCCUGCGGCCCGGGGGCCGGCUCCAGAGGUUCCCCCGCAGCCGCAGCAUCUACGCGUCAGGCGAGCCCCUGGGCUUCCUGCCCUUCGAGGACGAGGCCCCGUUCCAUCACUCGGGCUCCCGCAAGUCGCUGUACGGGCUUGAGGGCUUCCAGGACCUGGGCGAGUAUUAUGACUAUCACCGCGACGGCGACGACUACUACGACCGGCAGUCACUCCACCGCUACGAGGAGCAGGAACCCUACCUGGCGGGCCUCGGCCCCUACAGCCCGGCCUGGCCACCCUACGGCGACUACUACUACGGGUACCCGCCCGAGGAUCCCUAUGACUACUACCACCCCGACUAUUACGGUGGCCCCUUUGAUCCGGGGUACACCUACGGCUAUGGCUACGACGAUUACGAACCCCCAUAUGCGCCCCCGUCGGGGUACUCGUCUCCUUACAGCUACCACGAUGGGUACGAGGGCGAGGCGCACCCUUAUGGCUACUACCUGGAUCCCUAUGCGCCGUACGACGCGCCAUACCCACCCUAUGACCUCCCAUACCACACUCCCUACGAUGUACCCUACUUUGAUCCCUACGGAGUCCACUACACCGUCCCCUAUGCCGAAGGCGUCUAUGGCGGUGGGGACGAGGCCAUCUACCCCCCCGAGGUGCCCUAUUUUUACCCGGAGGAGUCGGCUUCGGCCUUUGUGUACCCCUGGGUACCACCGCCCAUCCCGUCGCCCCACAACCCCUAUGCCCACGCCAUGGAUGACAUCGCCGAGCUGGAGGAACCAGAGGACGCGGGCGUAGAGCGUCAGGGGACCUCCUUCCGCCUGCCCAGCGCCGCCUUCUUCGAGCAGCAAGGUAUGGAUAAGCCCGCCAGGUCCAAGCUGUCCCUCAUCCGCAAGUUCCGCCUCUUCCCGCGACCCCAGGUGAAGCUGUUUGGGAAGGAGAAGCUGGAGGUGCCCCUGCCACCCUCUCUGGACAUUCCUCUCCCCUUGGGGGAUGCGGAUGAAGAAGAGGACGAGGAGGAGCUGCCCCCGGUUUCCGCUGUGCCCUACGGCCACCCUUUCUGGGGCUUCCUCACGCCGCGCCAGCGCAACCUCCAGCGCGCGCUGUCGGCCUUCGGCGCCCACCGGGGCCUGGGCUUCGGCCCUGAGUUUGGCCGCCCCGUGCCUCGCCCUGCCACCUCGCUUGCGCGGUUCCUCAAGAAGACGCUGUCGGAGAAGAAGCCCAUCACGCGGCUCAGGGGCAGCCAGAAGGCCCGGGCGGGCGGCCCUGCUGUCAGGGAGGCGGCCUACAAACGCUUCGGCUACAAGCUGGCUGGCAUGGACCCGGAGAAGCCCGGCACGCCCAUCGUGCUGAGGAGGGCCCAGCCGCGCGCUCGCAGCAGCAACGACGCGCGCCGCCCGCCCGCGCCACAGCCCGCGCCCAGGACCCUCUCCCACUGGAGCGCGCUCCUGUCUCCGCCCGUGCCCCCGCGGCCCCCAAGCCCCGGACCCCCGCCCGCGCCGCCGCUCUCCCCGGCGCUCUCGGGCCUGCCCCGGCCGGCCUCGCCCUACGGCUCCCUCCGCCGCCACCCGCCGCCCUGGGCCGCCCCAGCGCACGUGCCACCGGCGCCGCAGGCCAGCUGGUGGGCCUUCGUGGAGCCCCCUGCCGUGAGCCCGGAGGUGCCCCCCGACCUACUAGCCUUCCCAGGGCCCCGACCCUCGUUCAGGGGCUCCCGCCGGAGAGGGGCGGCUUUCGGCUUCCCCGGGGCCUCUCCACGGGCGUCGCGGAGGCGAGCUUGGUCACCGCUGGCCUCGCCCCAGCCCUCGCUGAGGAGCUCGCCGGGCCUCGGCUACUGCUCACCCUUGGCGCCCCGGUCGCCUCAGCUGUCCUUGCGCACGGGCCCCUUCCAGCCGCCCUUCCCAACCCCGGCCCGCCGGCCCCGCUCGCUGCAGGAGUCCCCAGCCCCACGCCGAGCCGCUGGGCGCCUGGGCCCACCCGGCUCGCCGCUGCCGGGCUCACCCAGGCCGCCCUCGCCGCCCCUGGGGCUCUGCCACAGCCCGCGGCGCAGCUCCCUGAAUCUGCCCUCGCGCCUCCCGCACACGUGGCGGCGCCUCAGCGAGCCACCCACUCGGGCUGUGAAGCCUCAAGUGCGCCUGCCCUUCCACCGACCGCCCAGGGCCGGGGCCUGGCGGGCGCCCCUGGAACACCGGGAGAGCCCGCGAGAACCCGAGGACUCAGAGACGCCCUGGACCGUGCCCCAACUGGCCCCCAGCUGGGACGUGGACAUGCCUCCCACCCAACGCCCACCCUCCCCCUGGCCAGGAGGUGCAGGCAGCCGCCGAGGCUUUUCCAGGCCACCCCCUGUGCCGGAAAACCCCUUUCUCCAGCUCCUGGGCCCUGUGCCAUCCCCCACCCUCCAGCCUGAGGAUCCAGCUGCUGAUAUGACCAGGGUCUUCCUGGGCAGACACCAUGAGCCGGGGCCUGGACAGCUCACCAAAUCAGCUGGUCCAACCCCUGAGAAGCCUGAAGAAGAGGCCACCCUGGGGGACCCCCAGCUGCCAGCAGAGACCAAGCCUCCAACCCCAGCACCUCCCAAGGAUGUCACUCCCCCCAAGGAUAUCACUCCCCCCAAGGAUAUCACUCCCCCCAAGGAUGUCCUCCCAGAGCAAAAGACAUUAAGGCCCAGCCUCUCAUACCCACUGGCUGCGUGUGACCAGACCAGGGCCACAUGGCCACCAUGGCACCGCUGGGGAACACUGCCCCAAGCCGCAGCCCCCUUGGCGCCCAUCAGGGCCCCAGAGCCCCUGCCCAAGGGGGGUGAACGGCGCCAGGCAGCCCCUGGGCGUUUUGCUGUGGUCAUGCCUCGUGUGCAGAAGCUGAGCUCUUUCCAGCGAGUUGGACCUGCAACCCUGAAGCCUCGAGUCCAGCCCAUCCAGGACCCCAAGCCAAGAGCCUGUAGUCUUCGCUGGUCCUGCCUCUGGCUUCGGGCAGAUGCCUAUGGACCCUGGCCACGAGUACACACCCAUCCCCAGUCCUGCCACCUGGGCCCUGGAGCUGCCUGCCUGUCCCUUAGGGGCUCCUGGGAGGAGGUCGGCCCCCCAAGCUGGCGGAACAAGAUGCACUCCAUCCGCAACCUGCCAUCCAUGCGGUUCCGUGAGCAGCACGGGGAGGAUGGUGUGGAGGACAUGACACAGCUGGAAGACCUCCAGGAAACCACUGUGCUGUCCAACCUCAAGAUUAGAUUUGAACGGAACCUCAUCUACACAUACAUUGGGAGCAUCCUGGUGUCGGUGAACCCAUACCAAAUGUUUGGAAUCUAUGGGCCGGAGCAGGUGCAGCAGUACAACGGACGGGCCCUGGGAGAGAAUCCCCCGCACCUUUUUGCUGUUGCAAAUCUCGCCUUCGCCAAAAUGCUCGAUGCCAAACAGAACCAGUGCAUAAUCAUUAGUGGAGAGAGCGGCUCUGGCAAAACUGAGGCCACCAAGCUGAUUCUGCGCUACCUGGCCGCCAUGAACCAGAAACGGGAGGUCAUGCAGCAGAUCCUGGAGGCAACACCCCUCUUGGAGUCCUUCGGUAAUGCCAAAACCGUCAGGAACGACAACUCCAGCCGCUUUGGGAAGUUCGUGGAAAUCUUUCUGGAAGGGGGCGUGAUCUCUGGUGCCAUAACCUCCCAGUACCUGCUUGAGAAAUCCAGGAUCGUGUUUCAGGCCAAAAACGAGAGGAAUUACCACAUCUUCUACGAGUUGCUGGCCGGGUUGCCUGCCCAGCUCCGGCAGGCCUUUAGCCUGCAAGAGGCUGAGACCUACUACUAUCUGAACCAGGGUGGGAACUGUGAGAUAGCAGGAAAGAGCGAUGCAGAUGACUUUCGCCGGCUCCUGGCUGCCAUGGAGGUGUUGGGCUUCAGCAGUGAGGACCAGGACAGCAUCUUCCGCAUCCUGGCCUCCAUCCUGCACCUGGGCAACGUCUACUUUGAGAAGUAUGAGACGGAUGCACAGGAGGUGGCCUCAGUGGUGAGUGCCCGAGAGAUCCAGGCUGUGGCAGAGCUGCUGCAGAUCUCCCCUGAGGGCCUGCAGAAGGCCAUCACCUUCAAAGUGACUGAGACAAUGCGAGAGAAGAUCUUCACGCCCCUAACUGUGGAGAGCGCUGUGGAUGCUAGGGAUGCCAUCGCCAAGGUCUUGUAUGCACUGCUGUUCAGCUGGCUCAUCACCAGGGUCAACGCGCUGGUGUCCCCAAGGCAGGACACACUGUCCAUCGCCAUCCUGGACAUCUAUGGUUUCGAGGACCUGAGCUUCAACAGCUUUGAGCAGCUGUGUAUUAACUACGCAAACGAGAACCUUCAGUACCUUUUCAACAAGAUCGUCUUCCAGGAGGAGCAGGAGGAGUACAUCCGUGAGCAGAUCGACUGGCAGGAGAUCACCUUUGCUGACAACCAGCCCUGCAUCAACCUCAUCUCACUGAAGCCUUAUGGCAUCCUGCGGAUCCUUGACGACCAGUGUUGCUUUCCCCAGGCUACAGACCACACCUUCCUACAGAAGUGCCACUACCAUCAUGGCGCCAACCCACUCUAUUCCAAACCCAAGAUGCCGCUGCCUGAGUUCACCAUCAAGCACUAUGCAGGCAAGGUCACCUACCAGGUGCACAAGUUCCUGGACAAGAACCACGACCAAGUGCGCCAGGAUGUGCUGGACCUGUUUGUACGGAGCCGGACACGGGUGGUGGCACACCUCUUCUCCAGCCAUGCCCCACAGGCUGCCCCUCAGCGCCUGGGCAAGAGCAGCUCCGUCACUCGGCUCUACAAGGCGCACACUGUGGCCGCCAAGUUCCAGCAGUCACUCCUGGAUCUGGUGGAAAAGAUGGAGAGGUGUAACCCCUUGUUCAUGCGUUGCCUGAAGCCCAACCACAAGAAGGAGCCAGGUCUCUUUGAGCCAGAUGUGGUAAUGGCACAAUUACGCUAUUCAGGGGUGCUGGAGACCGUGAGGAUCCGCAAGGAGGGAUUUCCAGUGCGCCUGCCUUUCCAGGGGUUCAUCGACAGGUACUGCUGUCUAGUGGCCCUCAAGCAUGACCUGCCGGCUAAUGGGGACAUGUGUGUGUCAGUGCUGAGUCGCCUGUGCAAAGUCAUGCCAAACAUGUACCGUGUUGGGGUCAGCAAGCUGUUCCUUAAGGAACACCUAUACCAGCUGCUGGAGAGUAUGCGAGAGCAUGUCCUGAAUCUGGCAGCCCUCACUCUGCAGCGCUGCCUCCGUGGCUUCUUCAUUAAGCGGCAAUUCCGCUCUCUGCGCCACAAGAUCAUCCUGCUGCAAAGCCGGGCCCGUGGCUACCUUGCCAGGCAACGCUAUCAGCAGAUGAGGAGGAGUCUGGUGAAGUUCCGGUCCCUGGUACACGCAUACGUGAGCCGCCGACGCUAUCUCAAGGAGCUGAGCAAGCGGGAGGUAGUCGCUGUGGGGCACCUGGAGGUACCGGCUGAGCUGGCUGGGCUCUUGCAAGCAGUGGCAGGCCUCGGGCUGGCCCAGGUGCCUCAGGUGGCCCCUGUGAGGACUCCUCGACUCCAGGCUGAGCCCCGUGUCACACUGCCCCUGGACAUCAACAACUAUCCUAUGGCCAAGUUUGUCCAGUGCCACUUCAAGGAACCUGCCUUUGGGAUGCUGACAGUGCCCCUGAGGACACCCCUCACGCAGCUGCCAGCCGAGCACCAUGCAGAAGCCGUGAGCAUCUUCAAGCUGAUCCUGCGCUUCAUGGGCGACCCCCACCUGCAUGGUGCCCGGGAGAACAUCUUCGGGAACUACAUUGUGCAGAAGGGGCUGGCGGUGCCUGAGCUGCGGGACGAGAUCCUGGCACAGCUGGCCAAUCAGGUGUGGCACAAUCACAAUGCCCACAAUGCUGAGCGGGGCUGGCUGCUGCUGGCCGCCUGCCUCAGUGGCUUUGCACCUUCCCCGUGCUUCAACAAGUACCUUCUCAAGUUUGUGUCUGAUUAUGGGCGGAAUGGCUUCCAGGCUGUGUGUCAGCACCGCCUCAUGCAGGCCAUGGGCCGGGCCCAACAGCAGGGCUCGGGGGCUGCCCGCACCUUACCCCCGACCCAGCUCGAGUGGACAGCGACCUAUGAGAAGGCCAGCAUGGCGCUGGACGUGGGCUGCUUCAAUGGUGACCAGUUCUCCUGCCCGGUGCACUCCUGGAGUACGGGGGAAGAGGUGGCUGGAGACAUUCUGAGGCACAGGGGGCUGGCAGAUGGCUGGCGCGGCUGGACCGUGGCCAUGAAGAAUGGUGUCCAGUGGGCAGAGCUGGCUGGCCACGACUACGUGUUAGACCUGGUGUCGGACCUGGAGCUGCUCAGGGACUUCCCUCGACAGAAGUCCUACUUCAUUGUGGGCACAGAGGGGCCUGCAGCCAGCAGGGGAGGCCCCAAAGUGGUGUUUGGGAACAGCUGGGACUCGGAUGAGGACAUGUCCACUAGACCCCAGCCCCAGGAGCACAUGCCCAAAGUACUUGACUCUGAUGGGUACAGCAGCCACAAUCAGGACGGUACAAAUGGGGAGACUGAGGCCCAAAGAGGGACAGCAACCCACCAAGAGUCAGACAGUCUUGGAGAGCCUGCUGUGCCCCACAAGGGGCUGGACUGCUACCUGGAUAGCCUCUUCGACCCUGUGCUGUCCUACGGGGAUGCGGACCUGGAGAAGCCAACAGCCAUUGCCUACCGCAUGAAAGGGGGAGGCCAGCCCGGUGGAGGCAGCAGUAGUGGUACUGAAGACACCCCCAGGAGACCCCCAGAGCCAAAGCCAAUCCCAGGCCUGGAUGCCUCCACAUUGGCUCUGCAGCAAGCCUUCAUCCACAAACAGGCCGUGCUGCUGGCCCGGGAGAUGACCCUGCAGGCCAUGGCACUCCAGCAGCAGCCCCUGAGUGCUGCCCUGAGAUCCUUGCCCGCAGAGAAACCCCCAGCACCAGAGGCACAGCCGACGUCUGUAGGCACCGGUCCCCCUGCCAAACCCGUGCUCCUGCGUGCCACUCCAAAGCCCUUAGCCCCAGCCCCUCUGGCCAAGGCUCCAAGGCUCCCCUUCAAGCCUGUGGCUGCCCCUGUUCUAGCUCAGGAUCAGGCUUCUCCAGAAACCACUUCACCCUCCCCAGAGCUGGUCCGGUACUCUACGCUCAACUCUGAGCACUUCCCACAGCCCACACAGCAGAUCAAGAAUAUUGUCAGGCAGUACCAGCAGCCGUUCCGGGGAGGCCGGCCUGAGGCCCUCAGGAAGGAUGGCGGGAAAGUGUUCAUGAAGCGGCCAGACCCUCACGAGGAGGCCCUGAUGAUCCUGAAAGGGCAGAUGACCCACCUGGCAGCUGCACCUGGCACCCAGGUGUCCAGAGAGGCCGUGGCCCUGGUGAAGCCGGUGACCAGUGCACCAAGGCCAUCCAUGGCACCCACUUCAGCUCUGCCCUCGCGAUCGCUGGAGCCCCCUGAGGAACUCACGCAGACGCGGCUGCACCGCCUCAUCAAUCCCAACUUCUACGGCUAUCAGGACGCCCCCUGGAAGAUCUUCCUGCGCAAAGAGGUGUUUUACCCCAAGGACAGCUACAGCCAUCCUGUGCAGCUUGACCUCCUGUUCCGGCAGAUCCUGCACGACACGCUCUCCGAGGCCUGCCUUCGCAUCUCUGAGGAUGAGAGGCUCAGGAUGAAGGCCUUGUUUGCCCAGAACCAGCUGGACACACAGAGGCCUCUGGUAACGGAAAGUGUGAAGCGGGCCGUGGUCAGCACUGCACGAGACACCUGGGAGGUCUACUUCUCCCGCAUCUUCCCCGCCAUGGGCAGCGUGGGCACUGGUGUGCAGCUCCUAGCUGUGUCCCACGUGGGCAUCAAACUCCUGAGGAUGGUCAAGGGUGGCCAGGAGGCCGGCGGGCAGCUGCGGGUCCUGCGUGCAUACAGCUUUGCAGAUAUCCUGUUUGUGACCAUGCCCUCCCAGAACAUGCUGGAGUUCAACUUGGCCAGUGAGAAGGUCAUCCUCUUCUCAGCCCGAGCGCACCAGGUCAAGACCCUGGUAGAUGACUUCAUCUUGGAGCUGAAGAAGGACUCUGACUACGUGGUCGCUGUGAGGAACUUCCUGCCUGAGGACCCUGCGCUGCUGGCUUUCCACAAGGGUGACAUCAUACACCUGCAGCCCCUAGAGCCACCUCGAGUGGGCUACAGUGCUGGCUGCGUGGUUCGCAGGAAGGUGGUGUACCUGGAGGAGCUGCGACGUAGAGGCCCCGACUUUGGCUGGAGGUUCGGGACCAUCCACGGGCGUGUGGGCCGCUUCCCUUCGGAGCUGGUGCAGCCCGCUGCUGCCCCCGACUUCCUGCAGCUGCCAACGGAGCCAGGCCGCGGCCGAGCAGCCGCCGUGGCCGCUGCUGUGGCCUCUGCAGCCGCUGCACAGGAGGUGGGCCGCAGGAGAGAGGGUCCCCCAGUCAGGGCCCGCUCUGCUGACCAUGGGGAGGACGCCCUGGCGCUCCCACCCUACACAAUGCUCGAGUUUGCCCAGAAGUAUUUCCGAGACCCUCAGAGGAGACCCCAGGAUGGCCUCAGGCUGAAAUCCAAGGAGCCUAGGGAGUCCAGAACCUUGGAGGACAUGCUUUGCUUCACCAAGACUCCCCUCCAGGAAUCCCUCAUCGAACUCAGCGACAGCAGCCUCAGCAAGAUGGCCACCGACAUGUUCCUAGCUGUAAUGAGGUUCAUGGGGGAUGCCCCACUGAAGGGCCAGAGUGACCUGGACGUGCUUUGUAACCUCCUGAAGCUGUGCGGGGACCAUGAGGUCAUGCGGGAUGAAUGUUACUGCCAAGUUGUGAAGCAGAUCACAGACAAUACCAGCUCCAAGCAGGACAGCUGCCAGCGAGGCUGGAGGCUGCUGUAUAUCGUGACCGCCUACCACAGCUGCUCUGAGGUCCUCCACCCACACCUCACUCGCUUCCUCCAAGACGUGAGCCGGACCCCAGGCCUGCCCUUUCAGGGGAUCGCCAAGGCCUGUGAGCAGAACCUGCAGAAAACCUUGCGCUUCGGAGGUCGUCUGGAGCUCCCCAGCAGCAUAGAGCUUCGGGCCAUGUUGGCAGGCCGCAGUUCCAAGAGGCAACUCUUUCUUCUUCCUGGAGGCCUUGAACGCCAUCUCAAAAUCAAAACAUGCACUGUGGCCCUGGACGUGGUGGAAGAGAUAUGUGCUGAGAUGGCUCUGACACGCCCUGAGGCCUUCAAUGAAUAUGUUAUCUUCGUUGUCACCAACCGUGAGGCUGCCCGCAUUCCUUGGCCCAUGGCCCUUUCCUCCAUCUCCAAAGCCAGCAGUGUAGAAUCCUCAUAUCUCUCUCCCUGCCAGCCUCUGCUUCUGGUCUCACAUCUCCUCCUCUGAUUCUGACCCUUCUGCUUUCCUCUUAUGAGGACCCAUGUGCUGACGACGCUGGGCCUGCUUGGAUAAUCCAGGAUCAUCUCCAUCUCCACAUCCUUAACUUAAUCACAUGUGCAGAGUGCCUUUUGCCAGGAAAGUGACAUAUUCAUAAGUUCUAGGGAUUAGGACCUGGACAUCUUUGGAGGGGUCAUUAUUCAGCCUGCCACAGAAGUUGUGACUUACUCACAGUCACACAGUGGUAAUCAUGUAAUCAUACCAAACUCCCUCUCUUUAGUAAGAUUUUACUGCAGGUGUGAGAUGGGUGGCAAAAAUGUCAGUGCAAGAGAGAAAAACUUGGGCUUCUCCCAGGCUCAGACCCCAAUCCUCCCCACCCCCACCUAUGCCAGGUACCUGGCAAGGGGUCUCUCCUGAAGGAGGUCUGCAGAAAGGCACCCACUGGGUCUCAUAGUGUGAGGCCUCUUGUGUUUGUCCUUGUUCCCAGCCUCCUCUGGAAAGGAGCUGGGCCUUCUCUGAGAAUAAUGCAGGGCACUUUCCCAGAUCCAGGCAGGCCACACUCGGGGCACUCCUCAGGAGCCCCUCUUUCCCCAGGAGAAAUGGAGCAUUACUUAAAGCUUUGAAUUGGAGUUAUUACCAUCUGUGGUCAUCAAUAUUUCAGUAAAACAUAGGACACCCCAUUCGACAAGCAUGCUCUCCUAAUUUAAUGAGGAAGCUGUGUCCCAGAACAGGCAGGUGGCUUGUCCGAGGUGAUACCUCACCUGGGUAGCAGAUUGGGGUCUGCACACAUGCUCUGUACAGGUGCACACAUGUGUGUGCACACAUGCCCCCACCCAGCCCUGCCUCCCUGCUCUCUGCAGGCCAGCAUGUGUGCCCACUCAGUCGCCGUGCUUACAUCCUGGAUGUGGCCUCAGAGAUGGAGCAGGUGGACGGCGGCUACAUGCUCUGGUUCCGGCGUGUGCUCUGGGAUCAGCCACUCAAGUUCGAGAAUGAGCUAUAUGUGACCAUGCACUACAACCAGGUCCUGCCUGACUACCUGAAGGGACUCUUCAGCAGUGUGCCGGCCAGCCGGCCCAGCGAGCAGCUGCUGCAGCAGGUGUCCAAGCUGGCUUCACUGCAGCAUCGCGCCAAGGACCACUUCUACCUGCCGAGCGUGACCUCGUGGCCGGGCAUGGUGGUGCACGCCUGUAACGCCAGCUACUCGGGAGGCUGAGGCAGAAGAAUUGCUUGAACCCAAGAGGCAGAGGUUGCAGUGAGCUGAGAUUGUACCACUACACUCCAGCCUGGGCAAUAGAGCGGGAAGUCCAGGAGUACAUCCCAGCCCAGCUCUACCGUACAACGGCAGGCUCGACCUGGCUCAACCUGGUCAGCCAGCACCGGCAGCAGACACAGGCGCUCAGCCCCCACCAGGCCCGUGCCCAGUUUCUGGGCCUCCUCAGCGCCUUACCUAUGUUCGGCUCCUCCUUCUUCUUCAUCCAGAGCUGCAGCAACAUUGCUGUGCCAGCCCCUUGCAUCCUUGCCAUCAACCACAAUGGCCUCAACUUUCUCAGCACAGAGACUCAUGAAUUGAUGGUGAAGUUCCCCCUGAAGGAGAUCCAGUCGACGCGGACCCAGCGGCCCACGGCCAACUCCAGCUACCCCUACGUGGAGAUUGCGCUGGGGGACGUGGCAGCCCAGCGCACCUUGCAGCUGCAGCUGGAGCAGGGACUGGAACUGUGUCGUGUGGUGGCCGUGCACGUGGAGAACCUGCUCAGUGCCCAUGAGAAGCGGCUCACAUUGCCCCCCAGCGAGAUCACCCUGCUCUGACCCAGCCCCCAGCUCUCCAGUACCUUCUGCCAGAAGACUCACUGUGUGGCCUCAGAGAAAUCACUGAACCUCUCAGGAUCAAUGACCCCUGUAAGGGGCCAGAGCCUUGGAGGACACUAAGAGGAGGCAGGAGGAGCAACUCAAAUCCCCAGCAACACAAGAAGACCCAUCCUGAACUGGGAUGGAAUGGCAGCAUGCAAACUUGGAUCAGAUAGCAGGAGGAACUUUCAAAAGUCUGGCCCACUGUGCAGUGGAGCAGAAGGCAGGACCAUGAGGCCUCCUGCCAUGUACCCAUUGCAGACCCUGCCCCUAACUCCUGCCUAUGACACAGAAGCCCCACACUAGUUGCCCAGAUGAACUGGCCUCUGCCUUUGGUUUACUCAGGGUCUGAUGUUGGAAUCUGCUCCAACUCCACACCCUAGCCCUUACAUGUCCUCCUAAGGGGCCCCUCCUUGUGCUGCCAGUCAGCCUGGAUUUCUGGUCUUUGGUUAUUUCUGUGCAAACAAAAGGUGUGCCUGGCAGCCAUUUCUCCAUGGAGUUGCUAAGUGGCUGGAAAACAAGCCUGAGGGAGGAGGCAGGAGUUGGAGUUACCUUAGGCCCCUGAUUCACUGCCUACGAACAGACCAUCCCCCACUCCUUGGGUAUCCCCAACCCCAGACCCCCAUCACUUGAUGGGCCACACAAGUUUGAGAGUGGUACAAGGGAGAAGUUUGGGAAAAGCCUUCUUGGAAAAUGGGACAUUAGCAUUGAGUUUUGAAAGAUGAGUAGGAGUUUGCUAAGAAUAGAUGGAAGACAGCAGGAUAAACAUUCCAGAGAAAAUCAUGUUUAUUCCCUGCUAUAUCUUCCAGAACCUAGGAGGAUGCCUAACAGAGAGUAAGCACUUAAAAAAUAUUUGUCAUAUGAAUGAAAAAAUAAACGAAUGAAUGUUGAUAGAAA
RNA transcript from Pan troglodytes (chimpanzee), 12686 nucleotides. It is a transcript of the gene named myosin XVA, with no coding region annotated. The record is from RefSeq and is a predicted model, not a curated record. The transcript is spliced from 64 exons. Lineage: Eukaryota; Metazoa; Chordata; Mammalia; Primates; Hominidae.